UCCUGUCUGCAAUGAACCCUCUCCUCCACCACACCUUGGAGAAGUCAUGCCCUUGUUUUUUGUUUUUGUUUUUUUUAAAUUAUUUAUCUGGUACUGAAACCACAGUGUCCCAUAUGAGUUCCCUUCCUAGGGACUUGGCCUUUCUGAACUGAGGCUAAUCUGACUCUUAGGGUAGGUAUGCACCGUUUCUGCUGGUGUCUGCCACCUACCAAAUUUGCCUCCAGAUUCUGGAGUCUGCCUCUUCAGCUGCUGCUUCCCUCCACCUGCUCUAGCCAGCUGCCUCUCCUCACCUCCUCAGUGUCUCUCUGGCUCCGGCAGCCUGCUAUGACUCCUGGACACCUGUCGUCUGGCUCCUGGAGCAAACUGCGCCAUACCUGGGUCUCAUAUCCUCAUCUCCCCGGCAGCUACAUCCACCUGGAUGGGAGUCACCCCGGAGCAGCCUGCUGUGGCUACCAUGACUACAAAAGCCACACUGGCGUACCAGGAUGCUCCUCUUGCCAUCACGUGGAGAGGGACACCUCAUCUUGUCUCUGACUUGGGACAUUUCUCUUGGACAAGUCUCUCAGAUUUCAUGGACCCUCACUGUCUUACUACGAAUGGCUUGGCCUCAGCACAGCUCACUCAGUGGCUAACGAUGGCACGCUCAAUUUUAAAUUCUCUCCUAUGGUAACAGCUUCUACUAUCACACAAGCAAAUGGGCCCCAGAUCUCUUAUAACUAAACUUUCUCUGCUCUACACUUCCAAAAGUCUCUUAUUUCUAAGGUUUUUAUACUUUCCUCUCUUAAAAGAAACUUUAUCUCUGUGAUUUCUCUCAAACAAACAAAAAACAAACAAACAACCCCCCCAACCAAAAACCCUCUUAAGACUAUGCUGUAAACUAUCUCAGGAUUUGUAAGUUCAUUGGGUAUGGUUAAAAAUCUGUAACACAAUUUAACUUAAAACUUGUAACAAAAGAUUUAUAGUUAAAAAAAUCUAUACCUGGGUAAUCUUGUUUUGCUACAACAUAUUAUUUAUGUGACUGAACUCUUGUUUAGAAUAUUCUUUAUAUGUAAUUUGGAUUCAGCUCUUGUUUAGAAAAUAGAUCUGCUAGAAAUUAGAUGUUCUAAAACACCUUGUGGCUGGCAGCCAUCUUUACCACGGUUAAAAAAGAGCGCACUCACUGUAACUUCACCAGCAUCUUGGUUAAGAUUAGCAUGUGGUAUAAAGCAACACUUAUAAAACCUCCCAGUCCUGCUGAGCCCUCUGCUUAUCACUGUGUCUGCCUUUUAGACCGAGGAGGAAACAGCAGGCCUCUAAAAUAUUUUGGAUUGGGAUGGAUUUUUAUGCGAUAAUAAAUUCCCAAGGUUAUAAAGGUCUACUCAGGUAAAUAGAAACUGACUUACAUCUUUGCUAACUACUCAGCAGUAGGUUUCUGAAAAAUCUUAGAUAAGGAACAACAUAUGUUUGAUCAAUAAGGUUUAUAAAUUCCUAAGGUCUACUCAGGUUAAUGGUCUGUAGCUGACUUAAGAAAUCUGUCUAGCCUCUUUGUCUUUGCUAACUUUUCUAACCUUUAGCUAUUUGGGUAAACUGAGUCGUACAAGAAAUUGUGCUAUUCUGUAAUGGUGCACUAUGAAAGGAUGAAAAAAAUAAAAGGAUUUCUGGUCUCUG
This is a long non-coding RNA of Mesocricetus auratus (golden hamster), 1647 nucleotides long. RefSeq lists it as uncharacterized. The transcript has 3 exons. The record is from RefSeq and is a predicted model, not a curated record. NCBI's taxonomy places the organism in Eukaryota, Metazoa, Chordata, Mammalia, Rodentia, Cricetidae.